AUACGUAGGUGGCAAGCGUUGUCCGGAAUUAUUGGGCGUAAAGCGCGCGCAGGUGGUUCCUUAAGUCUGAUGUGAAAGCCCCCGGCUCAACCGGGGAGGGUCAUUGGAAACUGGGGAACUUGAGUGCAGAAGAGGAUAGUGGAAUUCCAAGUGUAGCGGUGAAAUGCGUAGAGAUUUGGAGGAACACCAGUGGCGAAGGCGACGGUCUGGUCUGUAACUGACACUGAGGCGCGAAAGCGUGGGGAGCAAACAGGAUUAGAUACCCUGGUAGUCCACGCCGUAAACGAUGAGUGCUAAGUGUUGGGGGGUUUCCGCCCCUCAGUGCAGCAGCUAACGCAUUAAGCACUCCGCCUGGGGAGUACGGUCGCAAGACUGAAACUCAAAUGAAUUGGCGGGG
This 397-nucleotide ribosomal RNA is filed under the name uncultured bacterium. RNAcentral's name for it is "partial 16S ribosomal RNA". It matches the Rfam family "Bacterial small subunit ribosomal RNA", at positions 523 to 918 of the family's 1533-position model. The record is from RNAcentral.